This 240-nucleotide unclassified non-coding RNA is filed under the name Glomus sp. RNAcentral describes it as "partial contains 5.8S ribosomal RNA and internal transcribed spacer 2". The stretch from base 1 to 65 matches the Rfam family "5.8S ribosomal RNA", at positions 84 to 154 of the family's 154-position model. The record is from RNAcentral. Lineage: Eukaryota; Fungi; Glomeromycota; Glomeromycetes; Glomerales; Glomeraceae.
GUGAAUCAUCAAAUUUUUGAACGCAAAUUGCACUCUCUUCGGAGAGUAUGCCUGUUUGAGGGUCAGCCUAAAAAAAAUCGACAUAGUUGCUGUUUCGCGGUUGCCUUCGUCGGAAAUUGGGUCAUCUUAAAACUUUUGGUUUAAACGGCUUUAAAUUUUCUUUUCGAUUCCACGAACGGUUCUAAAAUUUUACUUCUUACACCGUUUAGGUAUCGAUCUUUAUUAGACGUUGCCGUUGCA